AAAUUGAAGAGUUUGAUCAUGGCUCAGAUUGAACGCUGGCGGCAGGCCUAACACAUGCAAGUCGAGCGGUAGCACAGAGAGCUUGCUCUCGGGUGACGAGCGGCGGACGGGUGAGUAAUGUCUGGGAAACUGCCUGAUGGAGGGGGAUAACUACUGGAAACGGUAGCUAAUACCGCAUAAUGUCGCAAGACCAAAGUGGGGACCUUCGGGCCUCAUGCCAUCAGAUGUGCCCAGAUGGGAUUAGCUAGUAGGUGGGGUAACGGCUCACCUAGGCGACGAUCCCUAGCUGGUCUGAGAGGAUGACCAGCCACACUGGAACUGAGACACGGUCCAGACUCCUACGGGAGGCAGCAGUGGGGAAUAUUGCACAAUGGGCGCAAGCCUGAUGCAGCCAUGCCGCGUGUGUGAAGAAGGCCUUCGGGUUGUAAAGCACUUUCAGCGGGGAGGAAGGCGAUAAGGUUAAUAACCUCAUCGAUUGACGUUACCCGCAGAAGAAGCACCGGCUAACUCCGUGCCAGCAGCCGCGGUAAUACGGAGGGUGCAAGCGUUAAUCGGAAUUACUGGGCGUAAAGCGCACGCAGGCGGUCUGUCAAGUCGGAUGUGAAAUCCCCGGGCUCAACCUGGGAACUGCAUUCGAAACUGGCAGGCUAGAGUCUUGUAGAGGGGGUAGAAUUCCAGGUGUAGCGGUGAAAUGCGUAGAGAUCUGGAGGAAUACCGGUGGCGAAGGCGGCCCCUGGACAAAGACUGACGCUCAGGUGCGAAAGCGUGGGGAGCAAACAGGAUUAGAUACCCUGGUAGUCCACGCCGUAAACGAUGUCGAUUUGGAGGUUGUGCCCUUGAGGCGUGGCUUCCGGAGCUAACGCGUUAAAUCGACCGCCUGGGGAGUACGGCCGCAAGGUUAAAACUCAAAUGAAUUGACGGGGGCCCGCACAAGCGGUGGAGCAUGUGGUUUAAUUCGAUGCAACGCGAAGAACCUUACCUGGUCUUGACAUCCACAGAACUUUCCAGAGAUGGAUUGGUGCCUUCGGGAACUGUGAGACAGGUGCUGCAUGGCUGUCGUCAGCUCGUGUUGUGAAAUGUUGGGUUAAGUCCCGCAACGAGCGCAACCCUUAUCCUUUGUUGCCAGCGGUCCGGCCGGGAACUCAAAGGAGACUGCCAGUGAUAAACUGGAGGAAGGUGGGGAUGACGUCAAGUCAUCAUGGCCCUUACGACCAGGGCUACACACGUGCUACAAUGGCAUAUACAAAGAGAAGCGACCUCGCGAGAGCAAGCGGACCUCAUAAAGUAUGUCGUAGUCCGGAUUGGAGUCUGCAACUCGACUCCAUGAAGUCGGAAUCGCUAGUAAUCGUAGAUCAGAAUGCUACGGUGAAUACGUUCCCGGGCCUUGUACACACCGCCCGUCACACCAUGGGAGUGGGUUGCAAAAGAAGUAGGUAGCUUAACCUUCGGGAGGGCGCUUACCACUUUGUGAUUCAUGACUGGGGUGAAGUCGUAACAAGGUAACCGUAGGGGAACCUGCGGUUGGAUCACCUCCUUA
RNAcentral lists this ribosomal RNA (1537 nucleotides) under Klebsiella pneumoniae. RNAcentral describes it as "16S ribosomal RNA". It matches the Rfam family "Bacterial small subunit ribosomal RNA". Lineage: Bacteria; Pseudomonadati; Pseudomonadota; Gammaproteobacteria; Enterobacterales; Enterobacteriaceae. The record is from RNAcentral.